RNAcentral lists this ribosomal RNA (1404 nucleotides) under uncultured bacterium. RNAcentral's name for it is "bacterial SSU rRNA". It matches the Rfam family "Bacterial small subunit ribosomal RNA". The record is from RNAcentral.
AGAGUUUGAUCCUGGCUCAGGAUGAACGCUAGCGGCAGGCUCAACACAUGCAAGUCGAGGGGCAGCGGGGAGGAAGCUUGCUUUCUCCGCCGGCGACCGGCGCACGGGUGAGUAACACGUAUGCAACCUGCCCCUGUCAGGGGGACAACCCGCCGAAAGGCGGGCUAUACCCGCGUACAUGCCACCGGGGCAUCCCGGAGGCAGGAAAGGCUUCGGCCGGGCAGGGAUGGGCAUGCGGCGCAUUAGGCAGUAGGCGGGGUAACGGCCCACCUAACCGACGAUGCGUAGGGGUUCUGAGAGGAAGGUCCCCCACACUGGUACUGAGACACGGACCAGACUCCUACGGGAGGCAGCAGUGAGGAAUAUUGGUCAAUGGUCGGGAGACUGAACCAGCCAAGCCGCGUGAGGGAGGAAGGUACAGAGUAUCGUAAACCUCUUUUGUCAGGGAACAAAGGCGGGGACGUGUCCCCGGAUGAGUGUACCUGAAGAAAAAGCAUCGGCUAACUCCGUGCCAGCAGCCGCGGUAAUACGGAGGAUGCGAGCGUUAUCCGGAUUUAUUGGGUUUAAAGGGUGCGCAGGCGGUCUGUUAAGUCAGCGGUCAAAGCCCGGGGCUCAACCCCGGCCCGCCGUUGAAACUGGCAGUCUCGAGUUGGAGAGAAGUAUGCGGAAUGCGCGGUGUAGCGGUGAAAUGCAUAGAUAUCGCGCAGAACUCCGAUUGCGAAGGCAGCAUGCCGGCUCCACACUGACGCUGAGGCACGAAAGCGUGGGUAUCGAACAGGAUUAGAUACCCUGGUAGUCCACGCAGUAAACGAUGAAUGCUGGCUGUCCGGGGGGACUGACCCCUGGGUGGCGAAGCGAAAGCGAUAAGCAUUCCACCUGGGGAGUACGCCGGCAACGGUGAAACUCAAAGGAAUUGACGGGGGCCCGCACAAGCGGAGGAACAUGUGGUUUAAUUCGAUGAUACGCGAGGAACCUUACCCGGGCUCAAACGGGGAGUGGCGCAGGCAGAGACGCCUGUUUCCCACGGGACACUCCCCGAGGUGCUGCAUGGUUGUCGUCAGCUCGUGCCGUGAGGUGUCGGCUUAAGUGCCAUAGCGAGCGCAACCCCCGCGUGCAGUUGCUAACAGUCAACGCUGAGGACUCUGCACGGACUGCCGGCGCAAGCCGCGAGGAAGGCGGGGAUGACGUCAAAUCAGCACGGCCCUUACGUCCGGGGCGACACACGUGUUACAAUGGGUGGUACAGCGGGAAGCCAGGCGGCGACGCCGAGCGGAACCCGAAAUCCACUCUCAGUUCGGAUCGGAGUCUGCAACCCGACUCCGUGAAGCUGGAUUCGCUAGUAAUCGCGCAUCAGCCAUGGCGCGGUGAAUACGAUCCCGGGCCUUGUACACACCGCCCGUCAAG